RNAcentral lists this ribosomal RNA (850 nucleotides) under uncultured bacterium. Its description in RNAcentral is "bacterial SSU rRNA". It matches the Rfam family "Bacterial small subunit ribosomal RNA", at positions 45 to 881 of the family's 1533-position model. The record is from RNAcentral.
UGCUUAACACAUGCAAGUCGAACGGAAACGAUAGAAGCUUGCUUCUAGGCGUCGAGUGGCGGACGGGUGCGUAACGCGUGGGAAUUUACCUUUUAGUGGGGGAUAGCCCGGUGAAAACCGGAUUAAUACCGCAUACUACUCUACGGAGGAAAAGGGGCCUCUCCUUGGAAGCUCUUGCUAUUAGAUGAGCCCGCGUAAGAUUAGCUAGUUGGUUGAGGUAAUGGCUCACCAAGGCAACGAUCUUUAGCUGGUUUGAGAGGAUGAUCAGCCACACUGGGACUGAGACACGGCCCAGACUCCUACGGGAGGCAGCAGUGGGGAAUAUUGGACAAUGGGCGCAAGCCUGAUCCAGCAAUACCGCGUGUGUGAAGAAGGCCUGAGGGUUGUAAAGCACUUUCAAUAGGGACUAAAUGUUCGUAGUUAAUAACUGCGGAUCUUGAAUUAACCUAUAGAAGAAGGACCGGCUAACUCCGUGCCAGCAGCCGCGGUAAUACGGAGGGUCCGAGCGUUAAUCGGAAUUACUGGGCGUAAAGCGCGCGUAGGCGGUUUAUUAAGUCGGAUGUGAAAGCCCUGGGCUCAACCUGGGAACUGCAUUCGAUACUGGUAAACUAGAGUAUAGUAGAGGUAAGUGGAAUUCCAUGUGUAGCGGUGAAAUGCGUAGAUAUGUGGAGGAACAUCAGUGGCGAAGGCGACUUACUGGACUAAUACUGACGCUGAGGUGCGAAAGCGUGGGGAGCAAACGGGAUUAGAUACCCCGGUAGUCCACGCCGUAAACGAUGUCAACUAGCCGUUGGGAGCAUUUGAGCUUUUAGUGGCGCAGCUAACGCAUUAAGUUGACCGCCUGGGGAGU